CGCUGUGCCACAGGUGAUAUUCCGCCAAAAAAUCUGUAUGCCAUGGGCACUCCAACCCUGUUCCUGUAGCUACCCCAGUGCUUAAUUUGGGAAACCAAGUGAAAUCUGUUCGGGAACAUCGAUAGUAACAUGUUUUCACAACGAAACCCUAGCCUAUUAAUUUAAACUGUUGACAGCCACUCUCUGCGCGCUGGAGAAAGGAAUGAAGGAUAUGUAAACUCACGGUGGUGAAAUAUUCUGUAGCUAUAUGUAACCGAUGUGAAAUGGCUAGUUAGUUAGCGGUGGUGCGCGCUAAUAGCGUUUCAAUCGGUGACGUCACUCGCUCUGAGACUUGAAGUAGGGUUGCCCCUUGCGUUGCAAGGGCCGCGGCUUUUGUGGCGCGAUGGGUAACGAUGCUUCGUGGGGUGUCAGUUGUUGAUGUGUGCAAGGGUCCCUGGUUCGAGCCCAGGUUGGGGCGAAGAGAGGGACGGAACCUACACUGUUACAUAUAGGAGGGGUGCGUCACUUGAGUGGUUUGAGUCACUGACGUGAGCUUCCUGUCCGGGUUGGCGACCCCCCCCAAUGGGUUGUGCCGUGGGGGAGAUCUUUGUGGGCUAUACCCGGACUUGUCUCAGGAUGACCUGAGCCCUUGGACCAUACCUCAGGACUACCUGGCCUGAUGACUCCUUGCUGUCCCCAGUCCACCUGGUCGUGCUGCUGCUCCAGUUUCAACUGUUCUGCCUGCGGCUAUGGAACCCUGACCUGUUGCUACCUUUCCCAGACCUGCUAUUUUCAAUUCUCUAGAGACAGCGGGAGCGGUAGAGAUACUCUGAAUGAUCGGCUAUGAAAAGCCAACUGACAUUUACUCCUGAGAUGCUGACCUGUUGCACCAUCAACAACCACUGUGAUGAUUAUUAUUUGACACUGCUGGUCAUCUAUGAACAUUAUAACAUAAAAUAGCCAAGAUGUUCAAAUCUCCACCCGGCACAGCCAGAAGAGGACUGGCCAUCCCUCGUUGCCUGAUUCCUCUCUAGGUUUCUUCCUAGGUUCUGGCCUUUCUAGGGAGUUUUUCCUAGACAUCGUGCUUCUACACCUGCAUUGCUUGCUGUUUGGGGUUUUAGGCUGGGUUUCUGUACAGCAUUUUGUGACAUCAGCUGAUGUAAGAAGGGCUUUAUAAAUAAAUUACAUUGAGUAGUACACAGCGUUUGUCACGCCCUGACCUGAGAGAGCCAGUUUUUCUCUGUUUGGUUAGGUCAGGGUGUGCCAUGGGGUGGGCAUUCUAUGUGUUGUAAUUCUGUUGUUUUUUCCUUUGAUUGGCCUAGUAUGGUUUCCAAUCAGAGGCAGCUGUCUAUCGUUGUCUCUGAUUGGGAAUCAUACUUAGGCAGCCCAUUUUCCCACAGUUAGAUGUGGGAUCUUGUCUUUGUUUGGUUGCAUGUAUUUUGCACUACGAAGCUUUUCGUUCGUUGUGUUGUUUAUUGUUUUUUGCUGGUUCACCUUUAAAAUAAAAGAUGAUGAAGUCAACUCACUCUGCGCCUUGGUCUACCUUGAACGAUGGACGUUACAGCGUUGUACGAGAUCUUCAGUUUCUUGGCAGUUUAUCGCAUGGAAUAGCCUUCAUUUCUCAGAACAAGAAUGGACUGAGUUUCAGAAGAAAGGACUUUGUUUCUGGCCAUUUUGAGCCUGUAAUCGAAC
RNAcentral lists this long non-coding RNA (1671 nucleotides) under Salmo salar (Atlantic salmon). Its description in RNAcentral is "lncRNA (ENSSSAG00000106736.1)". Lineage: Eukaryota; Metazoa; Chordata; Actinopteri; Salmoniformes; Salmonidae. The record is from RNAcentral.